AAAAAGACAAACCCUGGGUUUCCGUGUCCAACGUUUAACUGUCCGUCUUAUAUGAAUUUUUUUAUAAUUAGUAUUUUCAUUGUUAUUAGAUGAUAAAACAUGAUUAAUACUUUAUGACUUGUCUUUUUAAUUUUUUUUAAAUAAGACGGACGAUCAAACGUUAGACACGAAAAUCUAGAGUU
Molecule: microRNA precursor, 182 nt
Filed under: Oryza nivara
Lineage: Eukaryota; Viridiplantae; Streptophyta; Magnoliopsida; Poales; Poaceae
Description: MIR812 microRNA precursor family
Rfam family: MIR812 microRNA precursor family
Source: Rfam by way of RNAcentral